UCCGGUUUGUCACCGGCAGUCUGGCGUGAGUCCCCAACUUAAUGCUGGCAACACGCCACGGGGGUUGCGCUCGUUGCGGGACUUAACCCAACAUCUCACGACACGAGCUGACGACAGCCAUGCAGCACCUGUGCACCGGCCCCGAAGGGAAGACAGCUUUCACUGCCGAUCCAAUGCAUGUCAAGCCCAGGUAAGGUUCUUCGCGUUGCGUCGAAUUAAACCACAUGCCCCACCGCUUGUGCGGGCCCCCGUCAAUUCCUUUGAGUUUCAGCCUUGCGGCCGUACUCCCCAGGCGGGGCACUUACUGCGUUAGCGACGGCACUCAGAGGGUCGCUCCCCCAAGCACCUAGUGCCCAUCGUUUACGGCAUGGACUAC
Molecule: unclassified non-coding RNA, 376 nt
Filed under: uncultured bacterium
Lineage: Bacteria
Description: contains 16S-23S intergenic spacer region
Source: RNAcentral